ACGCUGACACCUACGGGAGGAGCAGUGGGGAAUAUUGCACAAUGGGGGAAACCCUGAUGCAGCAACGCCGCGUGAAGGAAGACGGUUUUCGGAUUGUAAACUUCUGUUCUUAGUGAAGAUAGUGACGGUAGCUAAGGAGCAAGCCACGGCUAACUACGUGUCAGCAGCCGCGGUAAUCUGAGCGGGCUGGCAAGGC
RNAcentral lists this ribosomal RNA (196 nucleotides) under uncultured bacterium. RNAcentral describes it as "partial 16S ribosomal RNA". It matches the Rfam family "Bacterial small subunit ribosomal RNA", at positions 329 to 539 of the family's 1533-position model. The record is from RNAcentral.